Non-coding RNA from Microcebus murinus (gray mouse lemur), 4493 nucleotides. The record is from RefSeq and is a predicted model, not a curated record. Lineage: Eukaryota; Metazoa; Chordata; Mammalia; Primates; Cheirogaleidae.
GCGUGAGCCGCCGCACCCGGCCACCACUGCCCCUCUAGAAAGGGGAGAACAAGCCCGCUGUGGUGUGGCUAGUGGACAUCUGCUGGGGGUUCCAUAAAGAGAAGACACAAAGGAAGAGAUGCCCUGUCCUUCCUCCAGACACCUCCUCUAGGGGCUGGGCACGUGGCCCGGACCAGCACAUCCAUGACCAUGAGAGGGCACUCCAAGGGUGGCAGAGCAGAGCAGGGAAGCCUUGUUCUGGGGUGACAGGGACCAGGACACCCUCACAAGUGCAGACACCUAGGAGCCAACAGGAAGCGGACACAGGAGACUGGACGGCUGCAAUGGGCUCCCAAUUAGGUCUGCCCUACUGUCUCAGCACGACAGCCAGAGGGUCCUGUCAGAACCUGAGUCAGGCCCCGAGCCUCCUCUACCCAGCACCUCCAUGGUUCCUGCCCCAUUCCCAAGGAAAGACAGAGUCCAAGCAAAUGCCUGUGUGCCCUGGGGACCGUCCCCACCUGGGACCUCAGCGCCCCUGCCCGAACUCCUUUCCCUGCGAGGAAUGUGCCCUGCCGAGCACCCAGAGGGCCCCCGAGGUCUCCCCUGCAUGUCACCUUGUGGGCCGAUACGUACAACAUCUCACCCUCCACCCCAACCUCCUCCCCGCCGCGGACUGUGCCCCUCGUGGGGAGUCAGCCCAACAGCCCCGUCCCUCAGCCUGCUCUCAGAGGGCUCGAGCUCCAGGAGGGCAGGGUCCCUGUUUUGUUCACUGCUGCUCCCCAGCGACGGUGGCACGUGCCCAUACACGCACUUGGCACCUGUCUGCUGAAUGUGUGUGUGCAAACGGAGAUUCGGAGAUGCGGGUGUGGCUCGAGGUUGUGUCCGCAGCGCGGGGCGGAUCUCCAGAACAUACCAGAGCCUGUACAAAUCACAAAGGCAGCAGACCCAUUUUUUUAAAAUGGGCAAAAGACUUAGAGACACUUCACCAAAAAAGGAUUUCCAAAGGGCAACGAAGAUAGGAAACAGUCAUCAGGGGAAGGGAAAUUAACCUACAAUACAGGUGUGUUUCCUGUACACCCAGUGGAACAGCCACAGGGAAAAGGCAGAAAUGCCCGGUGCUGCCAGAGCUCUCAGCUGCCGGCAGAGGCAGCGACAGCCGCUGUGGCCACUCAGACAAUGCUCCGAGGACAGUGCCCAAGAGAGCUGAGCACACGGAAGCCCAGAAUCCCGCCCCAGUGCAGGCCUGGCAGAAAUGCCGGCAGACUCGCACCAAAGGGCACACCCACGGGUGUUUGCCGCAGCACCACUCACAGGCCUUCAAACUGCACACAGCCCAGGUGUCCCCAGCAGAGGACUGGAUCCUGCUGAGCGGUGACGUGUUCACACAGUGGAACUCGCCACACGGACGAGAAUGGACAAAGACAACCACAUGCAAGGCAAGUCUCACCACCAUCAAGUGGGACAAAGAAACCAGGCACAAAGAACACCCAAGAUGGGACCCCGAGCACACCCAGACCCACGGCCCCCAAAGACGCCCGCACUGCUGAAGCCAGGGCAGUGCCGGCCUGGGGGCAGGGUGGACCUGGAUGCCAGUCACCCACCUAUUCUCCCCACAAGCGUCUCCAAGGGCACACUAUGACUUUGCAACCUUUCUGUGUAUAUGUCACACUUCAAAACAAUUUAUGCUCAGAAAAAACUGAGAGAGAAACACUAAGAAACGUCUUAGCCAGGGCAGGUAGAAGCCUUGUGGGUCCCCGGCCCUUCCAGGCUCGCUGUGGGCUGCACCUCGGAAGCCGCCCCAGAGGAAGGAGCACUCCAGGGUUUACUGCCCUCCCUGGCGCCUCGGCCACAAAGGCUGUCUCCGCGGAGAUGCUGCGCCUCCUUGGAAAGGCACAGCCUGCAAAGUAAGGCCGCGGCGGGCAAGAGGUGUCCGCUGGGCUUGGAGGGCGGAAGGCGGCCUGGGGCAGCGACAGAGCUGGGGAGCAGAGAAGCAGGACCAGAGGCCACAGCGGGCGACCAGAGUCACACUGGUGCUCACAGAGACCCGGGAAGGCUGAGCCCACGGGGGACUUGGGUUCCAGAACAAGGGGUCAGGUGACAGCAGGGCUCUACCCCCCUGCCCUGCUGGUGCCACCUCCUCACUGGGCCGUGCCCUCGGCCAGGGGCCGCAGGUCUGUCCAGGGCACACAGCAGGCCGUCUGGAAAACAGGAAGCGCAGCGAGUCCAGCCUGAGCACGCUCCCGAAACCGGCCGGCCCCUCGCCCUCAGGCCUGGCUCUGCCCGCCGCCCCGCCGCCGUGGGCUGCCGUGCCUGCAGAGCCGCGCACAGAGCCGCGCCUCCCCGGCCUCGCGAGAGCCGGGACGGCCUGGGCACGCUCACGCCCAGGCUCAAGCGCAGCGCAGGCUCCAGGGUGGGGUGUCUGGAGGCCAGCCCUGUGCCCUGGGUGUCUACUGGGGACCCCAAGGUCUGGCGUUUCCCCAACACUGCCCCAUUAACACUCCCAUUUGGAGAAUAAUAUUCCAAGAAAAGAAUCGCUGUGGUUUUAGUACCACCAGAGCAAAAGGUGUAGAAAGCUGAGGGGCAGCUGACCCCGCUGGGGCCCCCGCAUCACAGAGGCAGCCACUCUGCCUGAACAAACAAUCCAGGGGCGGCCAGUUGCCCGCAGGCCUCCCCCCACAGCCCCACAGGCCCCUACCCUUUGUCCUGAGGAGACAGGGGAUUGGGGGCGGCUGUGCCUUCCACCUUGACCGCAUGUGAGUAGCAGGUAACUAGCCGUGACGAAGGUGCUGACUGCUCGGGACAGCAGCUACUCCCUGCACCCAAGAGGCCGGGAGCCACGCCUGAGGGGAAGAGACCUCGUGCCCACACAUCAUCAUGGUCCCUGCGGCCACAGCUGUCAUCCCCCAGGCCCAGCCCUUCCCGCUGCCUGAGAGCCCAGGGACCUGGCGGGCGGUGGGUCUACAGAGGAACAAGACACCACCCUGCCACCUCCUCCAGGAAGUCUUCCUGAUUCUUGGAGUGUCCUCAAGGGCCUGCCCCUUGGGCUGCCAGCCCCUCAUGCCAGGUACCUCUCACCAACUCUUCCUCCCACUCACUCAGGACAACUGGCGGCUGUGAGGAUCUAAGCUCAGAGUACCUGUCUUCUCCACAGGGUCAAAGGUGCCAUGUUGGAUUAGCAACAUCUGCCUCAGGCGAGGGCGUGGGGAAGUAGGCCUGCACCCCUGCAGCUCCUCACCUGGGCUUCUCAACAACUGGAAGAAAAGAUGAUGGCCAACAUUCCACUCCAGGACAGCACCGAUCCCUCUCGCUGUCACCACAGCCUAGAGGUGAGGACGGCCUCCGUGGGCUUCACCUGCAUGGCUUUAGUAUGAGUGAGAGCGAGCUAACAAGGUACCUUUCUUCUGGACUUGCCUGUUUUAGGGUUUCUCCUUUAUUCAGCUGGCUUGUGGAUUUUUUCUUAUUCUUCCAUUCAGUGAGAGCUGAGGGUGUGCCGUGCGCUGCUGCAGCAGUGCACGGUGACGAUAUGCCCAUAAACACAGCCGACCAAGUCCCGGCCCUCACAAGCGCACAGGACCAGGUAGAACACAAGUACCAAACACGUAAAUAUCCACCAGCUGCCAACGGCCGUGGAGAAGCCGGAGCCGCAGGUGGAGCGGAGCAGGCACAGAGCCCGGGCUUUGGUCUGGUCGGGGCAGUCAGGGCAGACUGCUCCGACGGGGGAGUUCCCAGCAGAGACCUGCAUGGCCACGUGGGUCCAGGCAAAUCAAGUGCAAAACCCUAGGGCAGAGCCUGUAGCCUCUUAAGGAGCAGUGAGGAGCCCAGCGUUGCAGGCUGCAGCUGCAACGAGAUAGCAGGAGGUGAGAACAGCCCUGGCGGGCCUGUGACCAGGACAAGGGCUUGGGUUAAUUUCCUAGGGUUUGCUGUACAAAUGACCAGGAACUGGUGGUGUAAAACAACAGAAUGUCUUCUCAGUUUUGCAAGCUGACAUUCUGAAACCAAGGCCUCAGCAGGCUGAGUUCCCUCCUAGCCUCUGGUGUGGGUGCUCCUCCACGGCAUCCCUGCCUGCAGCCACCGACCUCCAACCUCUGCCUCGACCCCCGCCUCAUCCUCAGCUAGUGUGACCUCAUUUUACCUGCCACAUCUGCACAGACCCUAUGUCCAAAUAAGGUCCCACCCAUAGGUUGCAGGUGGAUCAGGGAAUACUGUUCACCCAGCACAGGGCCCCUCUCCAGCCCCUCGGAGCCGUGUCUGUUGGGGUGCCUGCCUCUGCCAUCCAUGCUCACACCCACUUCCCAGUGCUGGAUGGAGAAUGACCCCACUGGGUCUAAACCUCUCCGGGUAGUUUGUGGAGAGGAGACUGCCUGCUGGACACCUGCAGAACUGCCCAUGCUCCAGGGCGGCCUGGACCUCGGAGGUCUGGCUGUGGCAGUACAGGGCCAGAGGGGCAGGUCCUGUGCUCGCAGAGGACAGAGACAGGGGUGUGCUCAGCGAGCAGAUGUGGAUCUUGAGAGAGA